RNAcentral lists this ribosomal RNA (494 nucleotides) under uncultured bacterium. Its description in RNAcentral is "bacterial SSU rRNA". It matches the Rfam family "Bacterial small subunit ribosomal RNA", at positions 30 to 518 of the family's 1533-position model. The record is from RNAcentral.
UGAACGCUAGCGACAGGCCUAACACAUGCAAGUCGAGGGGCAGCACAAGGAGCAAUCUGAGGUGGCGACCGGCGCACGGGUGAGUAACACGUAUGCAACCUGCCUGUAAGCGGGGAAUAACCCGUUGAAAGACGGACUAAUACCGCAUAAUACUAAAUUACUGCAUGGUAAUUUAUUUAAACAUUUAUGGCUUACAGAUGGGCAUGCGCAUGAUUAGCUAGUUGGAGAGGUAACGGCUCCCCAAGGCAACGAUCAUUAGGGGUUCUGAGAGGAAGGUCCCCCACACUGGUACUGAGACACGGACCAGACUCCUACGGGAGGCAGCAGUGAGGAAUAUUGGUCAAUGGACGAGAGUCUGAACCAGCCAAGUCGCGUGCAGGAAGAAUGUCCCUAUGGAUUGUAAACUGCUUUUGCAGGGGAAUAAAGUGCAUCACGUGUGAUGUUUUGUAUGUACUCUGCGAAUAAGGAUCGGCUAACUCCGUGCCAGCCGCCGC